This 253-nucleotide ribosomal RNA is filed under the name uncultured bacterium. RNAcentral describes it as "partial 16S ribosomal RNA". It matches the Rfam family "Bacterial small subunit ribosomal RNA", at positions 524 to 776 of the family's 1533-position model. The record is from RNAcentral.
UACGGGGGGGGCAAGCGUUGUUCGGAAUUACUGGGCGUAAAGGGCUCGUAGGCGGCCAACUAAGUCGGAUGUGAAAUCCCCAGGCUCAACCUGGGAACUGCAUCCGAUACUGGAUGGCUUGAAUUCGGGAGAGGGAUGCAGAAUUCCAGGUGUAGCGGUGAAAUGCGUAGAUAUCUGGAGGAAUACCGGUGGCGAAGGCGGGUCUCUGGGCAACAACUGACGCUGAGGAGCGAAAGCGUGGGGAGCGAACAGG